RNAcentral lists this ribosomal RNA (521 nucleotides) under uncultured bacterium. Its description in RNAcentral is "partial 16S ribosomal RNA". It matches the Rfam family "Bacterial small subunit ribosomal RNA", at positions 899 to 1397 of the family's 1533-position model. The record is from RNAcentral.
ACUCAAAGGAAUUGACGGGGACCCGCACAAGCAGUGGAUCAUGUGGUUUAAUUCGAUGCUACGCGAAGAACCUUACCGAGGCUUGACAUCCUGAGAAGUCUCCCGAAACGGAGAUGUGCCCCUCAUUGCUUGCUAUCCGAAUGGAUAGUCGGCAGCGAGGGGAGCUCAGUGACAGGUGCUGCAUGGCCGUCGUCAGCUCGUGUCGUGAGAUGUUGGGUUAAGUCCCGCAACGAGCGCAACCCUUGUUGUCUGUUGUAUUUUUCAGGCAAGACUGCCCGGGCCAACCGGGAGGAAGGUGGGGAUGACGUCAGGUCAGCAUGGCCCUUACGCCUCGGGCCACACACGUGAUACAAUGGCCGGCACAACGAGCCGCGAAGCCGCGAGGUGGAGCUAAUCUCAUCAAAACCGGUCUCAGUUCGGAUUGCAGGCUGCAACUCGCCUGCAUGAAGCUGGAAUUGCUAGUAAACGUGGGUCAGCAUACCACGUUGAAUACGUUCCCGGGUCUUGCACACACCGCCCGU